AGAUCCCUUCCCGCCAGGCCUACGACUGCAGAGUUUCAGGUGGGCCCCACGCCUGCGGACACGGUGUGCCAACUUCGCGGAUGCCGCCAUCUUUGGGGAAGGACUAGCGCACAACUUCCGGAUGGGGCGGGACUUCCGAAUGAGCACCAAGGCUAUGUAGAGCUGGGCGAGUGGCGCUCCCUGCUGGUCGGAGGGCAGCAGUAGUGGACAGUUCCUUGAAAAAAUGAGACCCUUGCCGACCUAGGUGGAGACCUGUUCGGGAAGUUUCCAUCCUCCCAGGUCUGUUUCCCCCAAGGCUGCCCUUCAGCUUCUCAGAAGCCCUCUAUGAACUUCCAGCUCUCCAUACAGACUCCAGUCUUCAAGUCUUUUAAAGAUGUUUUUUGAUGUUUGCCAACUUGUCAGCUCUAACAGGAAAAGGAAAACAAAGUCGAGCACACAGUUGCCAAUCAAGCCAGGCCCUGAGCCUUUGGUGCGUCCUUGAAUAGCAGCAAACUUGUCUACUAUAUCUGCCAGGGUGCCUCACACCAACCUAUUUAUUUUUGCUAAUGAGACAGAAGUAGAAGAUUAGGAGUUUACAGUGUUAGGAGUUAUGCUUUGGAAGCCAACUGACUUAAUCAAUGUCCAGGGUCAAGGCUUUCCCCACCAUCGCCCAAGUCUUUGUUUGACUGUAAUGAGCUGCAGGUGAAUUAGCCACAUUUGAAUUCAAGCAGAAGAGGACAUUCAUGACUUCAGGAUAAAGCUUAUCCCUGACAAUUCUCAAAAUGCGUCUGAUUUACUUUCACGAAGACUACCCAAUGCUUUUGAAAUGAGUCUCUCAGAAAAGGAGUGUUGUAUGGCUUCCUGCCAAUGACAUCACAAGAGAAGUGGACUCAGUAACUUCAAAAGUGAUUUCUGAUUGAAUGCUGCAUGUUUAUUUGCAUGGUUUUGCAUUUCCAAUUCCAGACUGAAUUCUAUCUCCAUGCUGAGCCUCAUGUCAGACACUGGAGAUGAGCUGCACAGACAGCAUCAGAGUGAGAUGCACAGUACUGAGCGUUUACCUUCACAGAGGCUGGCACUCUGGGAGCACAAACAUUAGAACAUGUUAUUUAAUUUGGUGGUAGAAUCUCUUCUCUGAGACCAUCAGGCACAUACAUACACUUUCUUUUUUUUUUAGAAUUUUUGUCGUAAUUUUUAAUUCAACUUU
Molecule: long non-coding RNA, 1183 nt
Organism: Fukomys damarensis (Damara mole-rat)
Lineage: Eukaryota; Metazoa; Chordata; Mammalia; Rodentia; Bathyergidae
Exons: 3
Source: RefSeq, a predicted model, not a curated record